Molecule: ribosomal RNA, 253 nt
Filed under: uncultured bacterium
Lineage: Bacteria
Description: partial 16S ribosomal RNA
Rfam family: Bacterial small subunit ribosomal RNA
Source: RNAcentral
UACGUAGGGGGCGAGCGUUGUCCGGAAUUACUGGGCGUGAAGAGAGCGUAGGCGGCACUACAAGUCUCACGUGAAAUACCCGGGCUUAACUUGGGGGUUGCAUGGAAAACUGUAGAGCUUGAGUACAGGAGAGGCAAGCGGAAUUCCUAGUGUAGCGGUGAAAUGCAUAGAUAUUAGGAGGAACACCAGUGGCGAAGGCGGCUUGCUGGACUGAAACUGACGCUGAGGCUCGAAAGCGUGGGGAGCAAACAGG